RNAcentral lists this unclassified non-coding RNA (338 nucleotides) under soil metagenome. RNAcentral's name for it is "partial contains 5.8S ribosomal RNA, internal transcribed spacer 2, and large subunit ribosomal RNA". The stretch from base 1 to 119 matches the Rfam family "5.8S ribosomal RNA", at positions 35 to 154 of the family's 154-position model. The record is from RNAcentral.
GAUGAAGAACGCAGCGAAAUGCGAUAAGUAAUGCGAAUUGCAGAAUUCCGUGAGUCAUCGAAUCUUUAACGCACAUUGCGCCCUCUGGUAUUCCGGAGGGCAUGCCUGUCUGAGCGUCAUUGUCAACCCUCAAGCUCGGCUUGCUGUUGGGUCCCCGUCGUUGCCUUAACGGCGGACCCGAAAGAUAAUGGCAGAGUCCGUAAGACCCUGGAUGCAGCGAGCUUCUAGCACGCGUCUGGACGGUUUACGGGCUUGGUCUUAACCAGAUGAUAACCUCUGAUUGACCUCAGAUCAGGUAGGGAUACCCGCUGAACUUAAGCAUAUCAAUAAGCGGAGGA